This 769-nucleotide ribosomal RNA is filed under the name uncultured Pantoea sp. Its description in RNAcentral is "bacterial SSU rRNA". It matches the Rfam family "Bacterial small subunit ribosomal RNA", at positions 28 to 789 of the family's 1533-position model. Lineage: Bacteria; Pseudomonadati; Pseudomonadota; Gammaproteobacteria; Enterobacterales; Erwiniaceae. The record is from RNAcentral.
AUUGAACGCUGGCGGCAGGCCUAACACAUGCAAGUCGGACGGUAGCACAGAGAGCUUGCUCUCGGGUGACGAGUGGCGGACGGGUGAGUAAUGUCUGGGGAUCUGCCCGAUAGAGGGGGAUAACCACUGGAAACGGUGGCUAAUACCGCAUAACGUCGCAAGACCAAAGAGGGGGACCUUCGGGCCUCUCACUAUCGGAUGAACCCAGAUGGGAUUAGCUAGUAGGCGGGGUAACGGCCCACCUAGGCGACGAUCCCUAGCUGGUCUGAGAGGAUGACCAGCCACACUGGAACUGAGACACGGUCCAGACUCCUACGGGAGGCAGCAGUGGGGAAUAUUGCACAAUGGGCGCAAGCCUGAUGCAGCCAUGCCGCGUGUAUGAAGAAGGCCUUCGGGUUGUAAAGUACUUUCAGCGGGGAGGAAGGCAGUGAGGUUAAUAACCUUACUGAUUGACGUUACCCGCAGAAGAAGCACCGGCUAACUCCGUGCCAGCAGCCGCGGUAAUACGGAGGGUGCAAGCGUUAAUCGGAAUUACUGGGCGUAAAGCGCACGCAGGCGGUCUGUUAAGUCAGAUGUGAAAUCCCCGGGCUUAACCUGGGAACUGCAUUUGAAACUGGCAGGCUUGAGUCUCGUAGAGGGGGGUAGAAUUCCAGGUGUAGCGGUGAAAUGCGUAGAGAUCUGGAGGAAUACCGGUGGCGAAGGCGGCCCCCUGGACGAAGACUGACGCUCAGUGCGAAAGCGUGGGGAGCAAACAGGAUUAGAUACCCUG